UACGGGGGGGGCAAGCGUUGUUCGGAAUUACUGGGCGUAAAGGGCUCGUAGGCGGCCAACUAAGUCAGACGUGAAAUCCCUCGGCUUAACCGGGGAACUGCGUCUGAUACUGGAUGGCUUGAGUUCGGGAGAGGGAUGUGGAAUUCCAGGUGUAGCGGUGAAAUGCGUAGAUAUCUGGAGGAACACCGGUGGCGAAGGCGGCAUCCUGGACCGAAACUGACGCUGAGGAGCGAAAGCCAGGGGAGCAAACGGG
RNAcentral lists this ribosomal RNA (253 nucleotides) under uncultured bacterium. RNAcentral describes it as "partial 16S ribosomal RNA". It matches the Rfam family "Bacterial small subunit ribosomal RNA", at positions 524 to 776 of the family's 1533-position model. The record is from RNAcentral.